RNAcentral lists this ribosomal RNA (429 nucleotides) under Brucella melitensis. Its description in RNAcentral is "partial 16S ribosomal RNA". It matches the Rfam family "Bacterial small subunit ribosomal RNA", at positions 355 to 776 of the family's 1533-position model. RNAcentral also lists the same sequence under 2 other names. Lineage: Bacteria; Pseudomonadati; Pseudomonadota; Alphaproteobacteria; Hyphomicrobiales; Brucellaceae. The record is from RNAcentral.
UGGGGAAUUUUGGACAAUGGGGGCAACCCUGAUCCAGCCAUUCCGCGUGAGUGAAGAAGGCCUUCGGGUUGUAAAGCUCUUUCGGCCGGGAAGAAAUCGCAUCUCCUAAUACGGGGUGUGGAUGACGGUACCGGAAGAAGAAGCACCGGCUAACUACGUGCCAGCAGCCGCGGUAAUACGUAGGGUGCGAGCGUUAAUCGGAAUUACUGGGCGUAAAGCGUGCGCAGGCGGCUCACUAAGACAGAUGUGAAAUCCCCGGGCUUAACCUGGGAACUGCGUUUGUGACUGGUGGGCUUGAGUGCGGCAGAGGGGGGUGGAAUUCCACGUGUAGCAGUGAAAUGCGUAGAGAUGUGGAGGAACACCGAUGGCGAAGGCAGCCCCCUGGGUCGACACUGACGCUCAUGCACGAAAGCGUGGGGAGCAAACAGG